AUUGAACGCUGGCGGCAGGCCUAACACAUGCAAGUCGAACGAGUGGCGGACGGGGGAGUAAUGUCUGGGAAACUGCCUGUUGGAGGGGGAUAACUACUGGAAACGGUAGCUAAUACCGCAUACCAUCGGAUGUGCCCAGAUGGGAUUAGCUAGUAGGUGGGGUAAAGGCUCACCUAGGCGACGAUCCCUAGCUGGUCUGAGAGGAGGACCAGCCACACUGGAACGGAGACCCGGUCCAGACGCCUACGGGAGGCAGCAGAGGGGAAUAUUGCACAAGGGGCGCAAGCCUGAUGCAGCCAUGCCGAGUGGAGGAAGAGGGCCUUCGGGUUGUAAAGUACUUUCGGCGGGGAGGCGUUACCCGCAGAAGAAGCAACGGCUAACUCCGUGCCAGCAGCCGCGGUAAUUC
This 406-nucleotide ribosomal RNA is filed under the name uncultured bacterium. RNAcentral's name for it is "partial 16S ribosomal RNA". It matches the Rfam family "Bacterial small subunit ribosomal RNA", at positions 29 to 526 of the family's 1533-position model. The record is from RNAcentral.